CUAUUACAAUUGUGUCAGAAUCGUCGAUCACUGAGCAGUGCGGACGAAGCUAUACAACCUACAUAGCUCCGUCCCUCUUGCACUGCUCAAUGAUUGACGAUUCUGACACAAUUGUAAUAG
Molecule: microRNA precursor, 120 nt
Filed under: Spodoptera frugiperda (fall armyworm)
Lineage: Eukaryota; Metazoa; Arthropoda; Insecta; Lepidoptera; Noctuidae
Description: microRNA sfr-mir-10454g precursor
Source: miRBase by way of RNAcentral